This 251-nucleotide ribosomal RNA is filed under the name uncultured bacterium. Its description in RNAcentral is "partial 16S ribosomal RNA". It matches the Rfam family "Bacterial small subunit ribosomal RNA", at positions 525 to 775 of the family's 1533-position model. The record is from RNAcentral.
ACGUAGGGGGCGAGCGUUGUCCGGAAUGAUUGGGCGUAAAGGGCGCGUAGGCGGCCUGCUAAGUCUGAAGUGAAAGUCCUGCUUUCAAGGUGGGAAGUGCUUUGGAUACUGGUGGGCUGGAGUGCAGGAGAGGAAAGCGGAAUUACCGGUGUAGCGGUGAAAUGCGUAGAGAUCGGUAGGAACACCAGUGGCGAAGGCGGCUUUCUGGACUGAAACUGACGCUGAGGCGCGAAAGCGUGGGGAGCAAACAG